GACGAACGCUGGCGGCGUGCCUAAUACAUGCAAGUCGAGCGAAUCUGAGGGAGCUUGCUCCCAAAGGUUAGCGGCGGACGGGUGAGUAACACGUGGGCAACCUGCCUGUAAGACUGGGAUAACUUCGGGAAACCGGAGCUAAUACCGGAUAAUUCUUAUCAACUCAUGUUGGUAAGCUAAAAGACGGCGUAAGCUGUCACUUACAGAUGGGCCCGCGGCGCAUUAGCUAGUUGGUGAGGUAACGGCUCACCAAGGCAACGAUGCGUAGCCGACCUGAGAGGGUGAUCGGCCACACUGGGACUGAGACACGGCCCAGACUCCUACGGGAGGCAGCAGUAGGGAAUCUUCCGCAAUGGACGAAAGUCUGACGGAGCAACGCCGCGUGAGUGAUGAAGGUUUUCGGAUCGUAAAACUCUGUUGUUAGGGAAGAACAAGUACGAGAGUAACUGCUCGUACCUUGACGGUACCUAACCAGAAAGCCACGGCUAACUACGUGCCAGCCGCCGC
RNAcentral lists this ribosomal RNA (507 nucleotides) under uncultured bacterium. RNAcentral's name for it is "bacterial SSU rRNA". It matches the Rfam family "Bacterial small subunit ribosomal RNA", at positions 28 to 518 of the family's 1533-position model. The record is from RNAcentral.